Molecule: non-coding RNA, 73 nt
Organism: Aedes aegypti (yellow fever mosquito)
Lineage: Eukaryota; Metazoa; Arthropoda; Insecta; Diptera; Culicidae
Source: Rfam
GUGUCGGUAGCUUAGUCGGUAAAGCGCUCGUCUAGCAUACAAAAGUCCUGGGUUCAAAUCUCAGUCGAGCACU